RNAcentral lists this ribosomal RNA (253 nucleotides) under uncultured bacterium. RNAcentral describes it as "partial 16S ribosomal RNA". It matches the Rfam family "Bacterial small subunit ribosomal RNA", at positions 524 to 776 of the family's 1533-position model. The record is from RNAcentral.
UACGUAGGGUGCGAGCGUUGUCCGGAAUUAUUGGGCGUAAAGAGCUCGUAGGCGGUCUGUCGCGUCGGAUGUGAAAACCCAGGGCUUAACCCUGGGCCUGCAUUCGAUACGGGCAGACUAGAGUUCGGUAGGGGAGACUGGAAUUCCUGGUGUAGCGGUGAAAUGCGCAGAUAUCAGGAAGAACACCAAUGGCGAAGGCAGCUCUCUGGGACGGUACUGACGCUGAGACGCGAAAGCGUGGGGAGCGAACAGG